This 367-nucleotide ribosomal RNA is filed under the name Trypanosyllis taboadai. Its description in RNAcentral is "partial 16S large subunit ribosomal RNA". Lineage: Eukaryota; Metazoa; Annelida; Polychaeta; Phyllodocida; Syllidae. The record is from RNAcentral.
UGUUAAGGGUAGCAUAAUAACUUGUCUUUUAAUUUAAGAAUAGAAUGAACGAAUAAACAUUAAGAGCCCUGUCUCAUUAUAAACCCUAAAAAUUUAUAUGGAGGUGAAAAAGCCCCCAUCAAAAAAAAAAGACAAAAAGACCCUAGAAGCUUGUAAAUAAUAAAAAUAAUUUAAUAGUUAUUUUUUGGCUGGGAGGGCAUAAAGUCUAUACAACACUUUAAAUUAAAAAGAAAUAUAUCUACUAAAUCAACCCCAAUAAGAAUAUAAGUAAGCUACUCUAGGGGUAACAUUUUAUUGCUCCUUAAGAGUACAUAUUGACAGGAGUGUUUGGCACCUCGAUGUUGGCUUAGGAAUCUUAUUUUAUGCA